Non-coding RNA from Tetranychus urticae (two-spotted spider mite), 1433 nucleotides. Lineage: Eukaryota; Metazoa; Arthropoda; Arachnida; Trombidiformes; Tetranychidae. The record is from RefSeq and is a predicted model, not a curated record.
GCCAUCCAUUGCUUGAUAUUCCUGGUUGUGGGUUGGGUUACAUGCCACAAGAUACAGCUUUAAAUGACAAUUUGACCAUUUCUGAGAUUAUCAACUAUUUUGGUGCUUUGUAUAGGAUCCCAAACAAAGAGUGUAAAGCCAAAGCAAAAGUGUUGUGUGAACGCUUAGGCCUUCCACAAGAGUCUCGAUCCAUAGGUCAACUAAGUGGUGGACAACAACGUAGAGUUUCAUUCAUCUGCACUCUUAUCCAUAAACCAAGGUUAAUGAUUCUCGAUGAGCCAACAGUUGGUUGCGAUCCAAUAGUUAUUGAAGUCAUGUGGCGUGUAUCCUUGAAAUAGCUCGAUCCUAUGGAACAACAGUUAUUGUUAAGGUAUCCAUAUCUCGCUAAGGCUUUGAAUGCAUCUGCUUGGCGUAUUAGUCGUCAUGUCCUUUACCAUCCGUUCACCAUUCUUCAUAGCUCAGUCGCCCAUCGUGAAUGUCGACCCGAUAGCUGAGCCUGAACUUGAAGAAGAUCAAUACAAUUCUCAAAAUUACUUCAUCCAAGUGUUCACGAUGGACUGGUCCUUCUUUGUCUUCCUUUAUUUGUCAAUUUCGUAAUAAACUAUGGAAUAGUCCUGAUAAAAACUUGAACAUUUAAGUUAAGAUUUGAGACUUUGUGGGUUUGUAGGAGUAUAAAAACUGAGUCCAUUAACGGCAUUGCAAAUUUCUUCGAUCGACAUUUUUGUGGGAAUCGAGGUCAAAGUUGAAACUUGGAUCAUCCUUUGUACAGUUACGAAAACAGAUUUUUUAUGGAAUUCAUUUAAUUCGUCAACUUUGUCUAACCUCCACUUUCCAGGAACGUGAAACUCUCUUCAUUUAUUUUACAUUUAUUUCAUUUCAAGAAAGGAUCCAUCUCAAUAUGAAAAGAAUCAAAAGAAUGUAACUCAAAUUAUAAAUUACAGUUUUGUAAACCAAUGGUGAUUCCAAUCCAUCGCCAUGGACCAUGACACGAAUCAUUGCCCCAUUAUGGUGCUUAUUUCGAAAUACCCGUGUUAAAGACUUCAUAAAGUAUGGCAAUGUGUCGGCUGAAAUAUUACCAGCGCCAUGAAAAUAAGGAAACUUACAGCGACAACUAACUCAAUGUACCUGCUCUUAUUAACAAGCACAACAAAAUGUCACUCUCUAAAAAUAGCUUAACGAUUUUAAACAUCACUUACCGUGGCCAUAACCAUUGUUCAUUUGCAUUUAGGUGUUUCUCCAUGACUUUGGAAAAGUUCCCAUAAUUUCAGACAAAAUAUUGAGCCAAAUUCGUAGAACCAGUAACUGUUCUCAAAACGUUCCGACAGUGUGCAAGUAAUCAGAAUAUUAAAGAGUAAAGGUUUACAAAAAUUUCCAUUGUUUAUUGGUUAUAAUUGGAAAAAGUCAAAAAUAUUAAAAAUAUGUAUAAUGUGUUA